GGCCCAUUAGUCUAGGGGUUAGGACGUUGGAUUUUGAUUCCAAAGACACCAGUUCGAAUCUGGUAUGGGCCU
Molecule: transfer RNA, 72 nt
Filed under: Ustilaginoidea virens
Lineage: Eukaryota; Fungi; Ascomycota; Sordariomycetes; Hypocreales; Clavicipitaceae
Description: tRNA-Gln (TTG) (tRNA-Gln-TTG-1-1)
Rfam family: tRNA
About the family: Transfer RNA (tRNA) molecules are approximately 80 nucleotides in length.
Source: RNAcentral